Molecule: long non-coding RNA, 1355 nt
Organism: Chinchilla lanigera (long-tailed chinchilla)
Lineage: Eukaryota; Metazoa; Chordata; Mammalia; Rodentia; Chinchillidae
Exons: 4
Source: RefSeq, a predicted model, not a curated record
CCUGAAAGAUCGCUAACCUCAGAAAGUCAGGGACCAAACAAUUGUUCGAAGAACCCCUGUAGCCGCAGCUGCAAACUGAUUUGGGAUUAGGACCCAGAGAGGCAGGUUUGGUCCAUGGCAGGGGCCGGGUCCUCUCAGUGUCGGGAUUUCUAACUCGAACUGGCCUCCGCGAGGUGAGGGAGGAAAGAAGUCAGAGGUCCCUGAACUUCUUAACUCUGUCCCUCCAGGACCCAGUGAAGAGUAUCACAGCCCAGAUCCAAGCUCGCUAGAUUGAACUGCAGGAGGAACUGCAGAUUUACGCCUAGCCCAGCUGUGGUGGCAUAGAGAUAGGACCUGUGGCCCCCAGGGCUGGACUGUCAGGAAUGAUGGCUGCUAUUUUUGCCUCUGGUUUCCACACAUGGACUUGCUCCCCAUUAUGCCUGAGAAAUUGAGGCUGUAGAGAACACCCAAGGCUUCAGCAGGGCUCUGUGUCUCUUCCAGGCCCACGUAGCAGAGACAGGUGUCUAUGUAUUGCUGCACCAACACUAGACCCAGGGAGAGGAGCUACCCAGGACUCCUACCUCCUCUGGCUAGUUUGAACCAAAGCCAUAUGUUGGAGGAGUCAGAAAAGAAACCAGAAAGUGGAGGAGGAGGUGGGGGAGAAAAGCAGCGAAUCUGCCCUUGUGUGACACACACUUUAGGUCCCAGGACGGCAUCUGAAAUGGUUCCGAGGAUGCUGGGAUUACAAGUAUAUGCCUCUACACCUGGCUUCCAAGAGCCAGCCCAGCCAGAGACGUGGAAUGAAAUAAUAAAGGCAUCUGUCUGUCAUCGUGUUGCUUGGCUCCCUGCCUCUGUGGGGAUGUGUUCACAGAACCUUGAUGAGAGCAAGGAGGUGGGACUCUGCAUACAACUAUUGAAAAGCAGGACCCAACUGUACCUAGCAUCACAGGCAGCCUGCUUUCACCCUGGUUGGCUCACCCCAGCUUCAGGCCCCCUGAAGUUGGGAGGAUGCUGUGAGGCAACCAGGAAAUGUGGCUGUUGGUAAAGGAUGGGGCUGGGUAUCGGGGAACCAGCAGAUAAGAGCAACACAGCACAUGGCAAUGUUUAGAUGGAAAAUCCUGAAGAGCACGAGGCCACCAUCCCAGUCCCAGGCACAGUGAGGCUGGCCCUGGAGAGGAGCAGAGGCGGUUGUCAGUGGAGGAGAAGCAGCGGUGCCGCUGUGUCCUGCGUGGGCUCUCUUCCCAGGGAGGGGGCAGUCCUCCGGAGGGGCAGGAGGCGUGAAUUUGAUGCUGCUACUUGCAGUAGCUUCUGUCCUGGGACAGGAUCAAGUCCCGUGUCAGUAAUCUUCCACCACAUCAAUCAGCUCCUCAACACCU